GAACGCGAAGAACCUUACCUGGUCUUGACAUGUACGGAAUCCUCCAGAGACGGAGGAGUGCCUUUGGGAGCCGUAACACAGGUGCUGCAUGGCUGUCGUCAGCUCGUGUCGUGAGAUGUUGGGUUAAGUCCCGCAACGAGCGCAACCCUUGUCAUUAGUUGCCAUCAUUCAGUUGGGCACUCUAAUGAGACUGCCGGUGACAAGCCGGAGGAAGGUGGGGAUGACGUCAAGUCCUCAUGGCCCUUAUGACCAGGGCUUCACACGUCAUACAAUGGUCGGUACAGAGGGUAGCCAAGCCGCGAGGUGGAGCCAAUCUCACAAAACCGAUCGUAGUCCGGAUUGCACUCUGCAACUCGAGUGCAUGAAGUCGGAACCGCUAGUAAUCGCAGGUCAGCAUACUGCGGUGAAUACGUUCCCGGGUCUUGUACACACC
Molecule: ribosomal RNA, 433 nt
Filed under: uncultured bacterium
Lineage: Bacteria
Description: bacterial SSU rRNA
Rfam family: Bacterial small subunit ribosomal RNA
Source: RNAcentral